GCGCACACUAGCUUUCUUUUGUUUUCGGACUACUCCCUUCUCUAACGUACGGUAGCAGACGUCACCCACGUUUUUCAAUGCACAUGCCACAGUUUAACGACUUAACGACUAAAACGACUACGAAAACUCUGUGACUAAAGGAACCAAUGUUUUUAAUUUUAAAAGAAUUGUAAUGGAGAUAAUAGUACAACCAGGGCCGUCCUGUGAAAAUUUGGAGUGUGCUUUUCAGUUAGGGAGAUUACGCAUACAUUGGAAAGGCAACUACAAUAUGGAAAUUGACAUGAUGGAUGGUGCUGACGGAGGCCUCAUGCAAGGUUCGAUGAAAUAUUUCUUGGUGAGAACUGUGGAAACCGAUGAAGAUUACAAAGAGAAUACUUUCUACACCUGUGUCCCAACCACAUGGAUAUCUAAAUGCAAGCAGUUGAUGUUGUAUCCACCAGUGGGGCUCCAUUUUGUUAGUGGCGUAAACAUUGAACCUCCAAAAUGGAGAAGCAAUGUGUUUAAAAGGUUCCGUUUCCCCACUCCCAAUAAGCUUGAAUACGAUAUUGUACACAUCCACAACCUUCACAAACCAGGAAGUCACGACCGAGUUCAUAAAUCAGCCGCUGCUGCCAUGAAAGGCUCAAAAAAUUUUGAAGAUAUCUUGAAAUCCGACAACGAAGUUUCUUUAGGAAGAGGGGCUCGCCUAAAAAUUAAGAAAAAUUUCGACAUUCCAGAAGCUAAUGAUAAACCAAAAAAGAAGAAAAAGACUGAUGGAACAGAAAAUGAAACAAGUUUGUCAAUAAAUAGGACGAUGGAUCCUAUUUCGAGGAAGGUGGUUCCAGAAAAUCAGAAUGCUGAAUUGUCUGUGCUAGUUACAAUGCCGUACAUGCCGAUGACAUUACGAUUGAUAAAGAAGCAAUGGUCAAUCACGACGCAGUUUUCCCUUUGCUAGAAGAUGACUGAAAUUUGGAAAAUAGUGAUUACCGGGGCCGCAGUGUUACUCAUGUUGACCCAACUGAUUGGGUGGGCCCGAUUAGUCCACGACAAAAUGACACACUCCUGGAUAUGGAUACUCUAAAGCUAAUCGCAUCUGAUUCCGUUCAACAAGGCACCACUGAUCGUACACUUAUGCUAUGUGUGCUAGAAUGCUUACAACGGAUUGCAGGAAUGCAGAAAACAAUGGAUGGCAUAAAAACAAAGUUGUCUGAAAAGUUCCAGUCUAUUAUUGAGAAGAUGUGUGAGCUUGAGAACAAAAUUAAAGAGGGGCGAAAGUUAGACGUCUUUAAGAUGGCCAAAGAAGAUUUCAGUCACCAUAAAUGUGUAGUAGAGUCCCACGUAAAGGAGUUGCCAGUAAAGUCAUCACAUGCCGUGGAGGCUUAAAUGUUGCUUUGCGGGAUGAGAAGCUCUCCGUUAGCCUGGUUUUUUUAUUCAUACAAAAAUUUCAAACAGCAAAGACAGUUAACUCAUUUCUAAGGCUAAUGUUUUCCUAUUUAAUUGCUGAUUCAACUAGCAAUUAAAUGCAAUGGAAAAUGUGCCCAAGGGGAAAAGACGCUCGACCUGCAUUAGCUGGAUUGUAUGACCUCCUGGCAGUUUUUGGAGGUUUUUCCGAUCUUAAAUUGUAUGCUGUGUAUUUUCAACCAACUAUUGGUUUGGUUUAGUUUCUGUUAGCCAUUUCGUAAAGAAGAAGGGGUGUGAAGUUGUCAAAGUAGCAAGACUUCAACAACUGGUUCGGGAUGCCAGAAAAGUGAACUCAAGAGUAUAUCGGGCAAACAACCCUAAUGAAGAUCUCAAUAAUGACGAUGAUGGCAUUGUCCCUGAUACAACCCUUAAUGCAAUUCAAGAUUCUGAUGGUGUCCUUACACAAGAACACAUUGAUCAACUAAAUGCAGCCGUAAACAAAUUUUCCCUUUGAUUUUUUUCCUUAGUCAUCUAUUGCAGGCCCCAUUAUGCGUUUAAUUUAUUAUAUUUCAUUGGAUAAAUGCAAUUGUGCUUUAGUUAAAUUGUUUCAUUUUCAUCUGUUGACGCCUGAAAUAAAAUGACAGU
This is a long non-coding RNA of Daphnia magna, 2025 nucleotides long. RefSeq lists it as uncharacterized. The transcript has 7 exons. NCBI's taxonomy places the organism in Eukaryota, Metazoa, Arthropoda, Branchiopoda, Diplostraca, Daphniidae. The record is from RefSeq and is a predicted model, not a curated record.